AGCAGCCGCGGUAAUUCCAGNUCCAAUAGCGUAUAUUAAAGUUGUUGACNGUUAAAAGCUCGUAGUUGAAUUUCGGGGUCAGCAGGUUGGUCGUGCCACUGGUAUGCACUGGCUUCGCUGAUUCCUCCUUUCUGAAGAACUAUAAUGUCAUUAAUUUGGUGUUGCAGGGAAACAGGACUGUUACUUUGAAAAAAUUAGAGUGUUUAAAGCAGGCUAACGCUUGAAUACAUUAGCAUGGAAUAAUGAAAUAGGACGUUCGAUCCUAUUUUAGUUGGUUUCUAGGGAUUGACGUAAUGAUUAAUAGGGAUAGUUGGGGGCAUUAGUAUUCAAUUGUCAGAGGUGAAAUUCUUGGAUUUAUUGAAGACUAACUACUGCGAAAGCAUUUGCCAAGGAUGUUUUCAUUAAUCAAGAACGAAAGUUAGGGGAUCGAAGACGAUCAGAUACCGUCGUAGUCUUAACCAUAAACUAUGCCGACUAGGGAUCGGGAUGAUGUUAAUUUUUUAAUGACUCAUUCGGCGCCUUACG
RNAcentral lists this ribosomal RNA (525 nucleotides) under uncultured Glomus. Its description in RNAcentral is "SSU rRNA". It matches the Rfam family "Eukaryotic small subunit ribosomal RNA", at positions 569 to 1092 of the family's 1831-position model. Lineage: Eukaryota; Fungi; Glomeromycota; Glomeromycetes; Glomerales; Glomeraceae. The record is from RNAcentral.